GAUGAACGCUGGCGGCGUGCCUAAUACAUGCAAGUCGAGCGAACAGACGAGGAGCUUGCUCCUCUGACGUUAGCGGCGGACGGGUGAGUAACACGUGGAUAACCUACCUAUAAGACUGGGAUAACUUCGGGAAACCGGAGCUAAUACCGGAUAAUAUAUUGAACCGCAUGGUUCAAUAGUGAAAGACGGUUUUGCUGUCACUUAUAGAUGGAUCCGCGCCGCAUUAGCUAGUUGGUAAGGUAACAGCUUACCAAGGGAACGAGGCGUAGACGACCUGAUAGGGUGAUAGCCCACACUGGAAGUGAGACACGGUCCAGACUCCUACGGGAGGCAGCAGUAGGGAAUCUUCCGCAAUGGGCGAAAGCCUGACGAAGCAACGCCGCGUGAGUGAUGAAGGUCUUCGGAUCGUAAAACUCUGUUAUUAGGGAAGAACAAAUGUGUAAGUAACUAUGCACGUCUUGACGGUACCUAAUCAGAAAGCCACGGCUAACUACGUG
RNAcentral lists this ribosomal RNA (497 nucleotides) under uncultured bacterium. RNAcentral describes it as "partial 16S ribosomal RNA". It matches the Rfam family "Bacterial small subunit ribosomal RNA", at positions 28 to 507 of the family's 1533-position model. The record is from RNAcentral.